AGCUCCAAUAGCGUAUAUUAAAGUUGUUGCAGUUAAAAAGCUCGUAGUUGGAUUUCUGAGGGAGUGCCAAUGUCCGCUGUUGCGUGUUCAGCGGCGCUCCCUCAUCCUUCUGUUAACGUUUCUGAUAUUCAUUUAUUGGUCUCGGGCUCAGAUAUUUUACCUUGAGAAAAUUAGAGUGUUCCAGGCAGGCUUGCGCCGGAAUACAUUAGCAUGGAAUAAUAGAAUAGGACUUUAGUCUCCUUUGUUGGUUUGAGGGAUUGAAGUAAUGAUUAAUAGGGAUAGUUGGGGGCAUUAGUAUUUAAUUGUCAGAGGUGAAAUUCUUGGAUUUAUGAAAGACUAACUUCUGCGAAAGCAUUUGCCAAGGAUGUUUUCA
RNAcentral lists this ribosomal RNA (373 nucleotides) under uncultured eukaryote. RNAcentral describes it as "SSU rRNA". It matches the Rfam family "Eukaryotic small subunit ribosomal RNA", at positions 587 to 972 of the family's 1831-position model. The record is from RNAcentral.